Arvicanthis niloticus (Nile rat) is the source of this 522-nucleotide non-coding RNA. NCBI's taxonomy places the organism in Eukaryota, Metazoa, Chordata, Mammalia, Rodentia, Muridae. The record is from RefSeq and is a predicted model, not a curated record.
UGCUGAAAGCAUGACACGGGGUCAGAGGGCCAACUUCCAGGAUGACUGAGAAUGGCUCUGACAAGCAGCUACGCCUAAGAAGUCUCCUUCCCUGACAUUGAGAGCUGACACCAUGUGAGCGCCUGAGGAGAAACGAGACAUUGCAGGAAUCCUGGGUCAACAAGCUGGGCCUUUGAUGUCUUUGGUGAAGGACGAAUGCUCCUCUACUGGAAAGUCAGUGACAGACAGAGCACUUGAGUGACCAGCUCAAGCCCCCAAGUACUGCUGAGGCAGGCCCACACCUUCCACCUCUGAAACUCAAGCCUCACAGGACCUCAUGAGACUGCUUCUGCUGCAUGAGUCUCCAGUUAGAACUUACUGUCUAGAAAUAUCCUGGGACUGAGUUCAAUGUCACAGAAGAGCACAGCUCAGAGGACCUCAGAAGCCAGUGAAGCCAGUCCCCAGCCUUCUGUUUUUAACAAUCAAAUGAAAAAGAACAAUGGAUAUAACUCUAUUAAAAAAAAAAAAAAAAAACCUUUAUAA